AUAUCAGUCAUGCAUAGCAUAUCAAUAAGCGGAGGAAAAGAAACUAACAAGGAUUCCCUUAGUAACGGCGAGUGAAGCGGGAAGAGCUCAAAUUUGAAAUCUUCAAGGUUUUACCUUGACGAAUUGUAGUUUAAAGAAGUGUUUUCUGUUGAAGUUUUGGUAAAAGUUCUUUGGAAUAGGACAUCAUAGAGGGUGAGAAUCCCGUAUUUGACCAUUACUUUCAGCUUUGUGAUACACUUUCAAAGAGUCGGAUUGUUUGGGAAUGCAGUCCAAAAUGGGUGGUAAAUUUCAUCUAAAGCUAAAUAUUGGCGAGAGACCGAUAGCGAACAAGUACCGUGAGGGAAAGAUGAAAAGAACUUUGAAAAGAGAGUUAAACAGUACGUGAAAUUGUCAAAAGGGAAGCGUUUGACACCAGUGUUGUUUUCUCGAAAAUCAAUUAAAAAGAGUUGGAUUUUGUGUUGUAUUGACUUUAUCAGCUUUCUUCACUCUUUUCCAGCUUUUUUUAAUGCACUUUUCGUUUAACAAGUCAACAUCAGUUUCUUUUGUUGUAAAAAGGUCAUUGGAAGGUGGCUUUCUCUUCGGAGAAAGUGUUUAUAGCCUUUGACUCAUGCAAUCGGAGAGACUGAGGUCUGCAGCGUAGAUCCUUCGGGGUUAGAUACAUUUGUGCUAAGUUAUAGCUUUUCAUAGACAACUUGUUGACUAUGAUUUAGUCUUGUAGCUUACUCGCUUAUGCUAUUUUACCUACGCUUAGGAUGUUGAACUCUAUCACACACAG
This 775-nucleotide ribosomal RNA is filed under the name uncultured Neocallimastigales. RNAcentral's name for it is "partial large subunit ribosomal RNA". It matches the Rfam family "Eukaryotic large subunit ribosomal RNA", at positions 22 to 621 of the family's 3401-position model. The record is from RNAcentral. Lineage: Eukaryota; Fungi; Neocallimastigomycota; Neocallimastigomycetes; Neocallimastigales.